AACGAACGCUGGCGGCGUGCCUAACACAUGCAAGUCGAGCGAGAAAGGGGGAGCAAUCCCCUGAGUAGAGCGGCGAACGGGUGAGUAACGCGUGGGUAAUCUGCCCUCCAGCCUGGGAUAACACCUCGAAAGGGGUGCUAAUACCGGAUGACACCAGCCCGGCGCAUGCCGGGCUGAUCAAAGGCGGCCUCUGCUUGCAAGCUGUCACGGAGGAUGAGCCUGCGUCCGAUUAGCUAGUUGGCGGGGUAACGGCCCACCAAGGCGACGAUCGGUAGCCGGCCUGAGAGGGUGACCGGCCACACUGGGACUGAGACCCGGCCCAGACUCCUACGGGAGGCAGCAGUGGGGGAUAUUGCGCAAUGGGCGAAAGCCUGACGCAGCGACGCCGCGUGGGGGAUGACGGCCUUCGGGUUGUAAACCCCUGUCGGGUGGAACGAACAAACCCGGCGCGAACACCGCCGGGUCCUGACGGUACCACCGAAGGAAGCCCCGGCUAACUACGUGCCAGCAGCCGCCGUAA
This 520-nucleotide ribosomal RNA is filed under the name uncultured bacterium. Its description in RNAcentral is "partial 16S ribosomal RNA". It matches the Rfam family "Bacterial small subunit ribosomal RNA", at positions 28 to 523 of the family's 1533-position model. The record is from RNAcentral.